GAACCUCUGUCCUCUCAGGCAUUCACCGCGUGGCUGGGAGGGCGCCAGGAGGCCGAGGCCGGGGCUGCCAUGCGCUCCCGGUGCCUCACCCCGCAGGUCGGUCCGCCUCGUGGGCUGUGGGGCAGACGACCGGGAAGCCCCGAGAUCUCCAGAUCCUCGAUCGGGACCGAAAAGGCCCUGAACUUGUGCAGUGACUUGCCAUUGAGUCCGGGAGGUUCUGGAGACCUGGGUGACGGAAGAACGCCCAAGGCCGACUGCUGCCCUCAGUUAUCGGGGCUCCACAUGGACCAAACCCAGCUGGCAGUCAGAGGGCAAGAGCAUCUCGAUGCAGCGCAUACAGGCCAAUUCCAGGGUGCAGUGCAGCAUGGAAAAGGAGAAAUGUACCUGAAGAGGCAAAUGAAAGAUAUACAGCGUCACAGGCAAUCUUGCUUCUACUACCAUAAAAAUAGUUUACGUUUCUUAGACACUUAGUCUGUGUCAGGCAUGUCCAUUAUCUCAUUGCAUCUUCCCAUAAACCCG
Molecule: long non-coding RNA, 519 nt
Filed under: Homo sapiens (human)
Lineage: Eukaryota; Metazoa; Chordata; Mammalia; Primates; Hominidae
Description: non-protein coding lnc-SRL-1:1
Source: RNAcentral